RNAcentral lists this ribosomal RNA (253 nucleotides) under uncultured Gemmata sp. RNAcentral describes it as "partial 16S ribosomal RNA". It matches the Rfam family "Bacterial small subunit ribosomal RNA", at positions 524 to 776 of the family's 1533-position model. Lineage: Bacteria; Pseudomonadati; Planctomycetota; Planctomycetia; Gemmatales; Gemmataceae. The record is from RNAcentral.
GACGAACCGUGCGAACGUUGUUCGGAAUAACUGGGCUUAAAGGGAGCGUAGGCGGGCUAACAAGUCUGGGGUGAAAUCCCACGGCUCAACCGUGGAACUGCCUUAGAUACUGUCGGCCUCGAGGGAGAUAGGGGCAUGCGGAACUAACGGUGGAGCGGUGAAAUGCGUUGAUAUCGUUAGGAACUCCGGUGGCGAAAGCGGCGUGCUGGAUCUCUUCUGACGCUGAGGCUCGAAAGCUAGGGGAGCAAACGGG